RNAcentral lists this ribosomal RNA (492 nucleotides) under uncultured bacterium. RNAcentral describes it as "partial 16S ribosomal RNA". It matches the Rfam family "Bacterial small subunit ribosomal RNA", at positions 29 to 507 of the family's 1533-position model. The record is from RNAcentral.
AGUGAACGCUGGCGGUAGGCCUAACACAUGCAAGUCGAACGGCAGCACAGUAAGAGCUUGCUCUUACGGGUGGCGAGUGGCGGACGGGUGAGGAAUACAUCGGAAUCUACUUUUUCGUGGGGGAUAACGUAGGGAAACUUACGCUAAUACCGCAUACGACCUACGGGUGAAAGCAGGGGAUCUUCGGACCUUGCGCGACUGAAUGAGUCGAUGUCGGAUUAGCUAGUUGGCGGGGUAAAGGCCCACCAAGGCGACGAUCCGUAGCUGGUCUGAGAGGAUGAUCAGCCACACUGGAACUGAGACACGGUCCAGACUCCUACGGGAGGCAGCAGUGGGGAAUAUUGGGCAAUGGGCGCAAGCCUGAUCCAGCCAUACCGCGUGAGUGAAGAAGGCCUUCGGGUUGUAAAGCCCUUUUGUUGGGAAAGAAAAGCAGCAGGUUAAUACCCCGCUGUUCUGACGGUACCCAAAGAAUAAGCACCGGCUAACUUCGUG